Molecule: unclassified non-coding RNA, 147 nt
Filed under: soil metagenome
Description: partial internal transcribed spacer 1
Source: RNAcentral
UAAUAAGUGUUUUAUGGCACUUUUUAAAUCCAUAUCCACCUUGUGUGCAAUGUCGGUCGAUCUUCUUUUUUUGAGGAUCGACCAAACAUCAACCUUUAUCUUUUAACUCUUUGUCUUAAAAAUAUUAUGAAUAAACAAUUCAAAAUA